Molecule: ribosomal RNA, 569 nt
Filed under: uncultured bacterium
Lineage: Bacteria
Description: partial 16S ribosomal RNA
Rfam family: Bacterial small subunit ribosomal RNA
Source: RNAcentral
CUAAGGAAUUUUGGCAAUGGGCGCAAGCCUGACCAAGCAACGCCGCGUGCGGGAUGACGGCCUUCGGGUUGUAAACCGCUUUUCUGGGGGAAGAAACAGCGGUACCCCAGGAAUCAGCCCCGGCUAACUCUGUGCCAGCAGCCGCGGUAAUACAGAGGGGGGCAAGCGUUGUCCGGAUUGACUGGGCGUAAAGCGUAUGUAGGUGGUACGGCAGGUGGGGUGUUACAUCUCCAGGCUUAACCUGGAGGCAUCGCUCCAAACCGCCGCACUCGAGUCGUGCAGAGGUUGGUGGAAUUGCCGGUGUAGUGGUGAAAUGCGUAGAGAUCGGCAGGAACACCUAGAGCGAAAGCAGCCAACUGGGCACGGACUGACACUGAGGUACGACAGCGUGGGGGAGCGAACAGGAUUAGAUACCCUGGUAGUCCACGCCGUAAAACGAUGUCUGCUCGCGUCGUGGGGAGUUAUCCAUACUCCUGGGACGCUUAGCUUACGCGGUAAGCAGACCGCCUGGGGAACUACGAGCGCAAGCUUAAAACUUAAAGGAAUUGACGGGGUCAUAGCUGUUUCCU